Long non-coding RNA from Herpailurus yagouaroundi (jaguarundi), 1552 nucleotides. RefSeq lists it as uncharacterized. The record is from RefSeq and is a predicted model, not a curated record. The transcript has 4 exons. NCBI's taxonomy places the organism in Eukaryota, Metazoa, Chordata, Mammalia, Carnivora, Felidae.
GGUCCCUCCUGGAGCGGCUCCAGCCGCACAGCCGCCGCCGCUCGGGCUCGUCCUCCGGCAGCUGAUGUCCAGCCGGGUGCUCGGGCGGUACGCAGUGGCACACAGCCACAGGAUGUCAGCCGAACGCACACCUCGAAGGUUGGCCUUCACAGAUGCUGCUUACAUGCUGAGGAUUUCUUUUUAUUUCCCUAGAAUGCUCCUCUUUGGACAAUCAUACUUUAUGCACCCUAUCCAGGACAGUGAUUUUCGGUCUAGGGUACAUAUUCCCUGAAGCUGUCUUCAUCAAGGAGAGGAGAUUAGGAUACGGACACAACAAGAGGAAAGACCACGUAAGUUUAGACACACAGAGAAGACAGCCAUCUGCAAGCCAAGAGGACAGACCUCGAAAGAACGGUGACCCUGCCAACACCUUGAUCUCAGACUUGCAGCCUCCAGAACCAUGAGAAAAUAAAUUUCUGGUGUGUGAGUCACCCAGUCUGUGGUAUUUUGUUAUGGCAGCUAAAGUAGACUAAUACACAAGGAUUUCAUCUGGGCCCUGACUACCUCUCUAGAGCCUCAGCUCUCUGUCAGGCUCCAUCCAUCCCCAUAUCACCACCUACCCACACCUCCGCCUUACUAGUUUUGAGACCUUGGACCGCCUAACCUUUCUGUCCCCAGUUUUCUUACCUGUCAAAUGGGGAUAGUAACAUUACCUUCCUAGAGUUGCAUGAUGAUUAAAUGUGGUCAUCUGUGUGACGCAUUUAACACAGUGUGAACAUAAAAAACACUCAAUAAAUACUAGCAGGUACGGUCCGGCCGUAAGGCGUUAACUGCCAUUCUCCAACUAUACGCUGUUUUGCUCCGCUUCCAUGAGUUAGCACAUGCUACCAUGUCUGAUUAGAAUGACUUUCUCCCACUGUGUCACCUAGCUAACUCUCGGUUGUCCUUCAAGACUGAAGUCCCGUGUAGAGCCAGCUCUCAUCCACUCUCCGUCAUCUGAAGCUCUUCUCUAGACUCCCACAUCUCCCAGUGCUUGCCUCUACCAAGUGAGAAGCCAUCGCAGGGUUUAAGGUGGAGGAGUGACCUGAUCUGGCUUGAGUACCUACCAUAUACCAGGCACCAUCUCAGGUUCUGAGUCAAGACGAAUAAAAAUAACAAAGAACACUUAGCUUAUAGGGUUACUGAGAGGAUUAUGAGAGACAAACUAAGCCAAGCACUUAAGACAGUGCCUGGCAUACGGUAAACACUCAGUAAAUGCUAACAAUUAUUAUCUAUGUAUAUUCAGGACACUUCCUUGCAUCCGUUGACAUCUGUAGCCUUUUGUUCAUAGUCUUCCUCCCUAAACACAAAUUCCGCAACCAUCCUGGGUGACGAUCCCUCCAACAUGCUAGCCUCUCUCCUGGACCUCAACUCCAGUAACAUGUAUCUCCACCCUACUCCAGACACACCAUGACAACAUCCUGACCUUGAUAUUGUUGUUGGGUUUUUGCAGAGCGAAUACACUGUGUAUAACCAUAGGAAUAGAUUCGUAUAUAGAAAGCCCAGGUGGAAUUUUCCAUUAGCUUAAGUUGAG